This 585-nucleotide ribosomal RNA is filed under the name uncultured bacterium. RNAcentral describes it as "bacterial SSU rRNA". It matches the Rfam family "Bacterial small subunit ribosomal RNA", at positions 9 to 593 of the family's 1533-position model. The record is from RNAcentral.
GAGUUUGAUCAUGGCUCAGGAUGAACGCUAGCGGCAGGCCUAAUACAUGCAAGUCGAAUGAUAUUUCUAGUUUACUAGAGAAAAAGUGGCGCACGGGUGCGUAACGCGUAUGCAACCUACCUUAAUCAGGGGGAUAGCCCGAAGAAAUUCGGAUUAACACCGCAUAAAAUCACAGUACAGCAUUGUACAAUGAUCAAAUAUUUAUAGGAUUAAGAUGGGCAUGCGUGACAUUAGCUAGUUGGCGGGGUAACGGCCCACCAAGGCUACGAUGUCUAGGGGAUCUGAGAGGAUGACCCCCCACACUGGUACUGAGACACGGACCAGACUCCUACGGGAGGCAGCAGUAAGGAAUAUUGGUCAAUGGAGGCAACUCUGAACCAGCCAUGCCGCGUGCAGGAAGACAGCCCUCUGGGUCGUAAACUGCUUUUAUUCGGGAAUAAACCUCAUUACGUGUAAUGAGCUGAAUGUACCGAAGGAAUAAGGAUCGGCUAACUCCGUGCCAGCAGCCGCGGUAAUACGGAGGAUCCAAGCGUUAUCCGGACUUAUUGGGUUUAAAGGGUGCGUAGGCGGCUUUUUAAGUCAGGG